UGGGGAAUAUUGGACAAUGGGGGGAACCCUGAUCCAGCAAUGCCGCGUGUGUGAAGAAGGCCUGAGGGUUGUAAAGCACUUUCAGAGGGGAGGAGGACUAUUAGGUUAAGAGCUAGAUAGUUGGACGUUACCGACAGAAUAAGCACCGGCUAACUCUGUGCCAGCAGCCGCGGUAAUACGUAGGGACCAAGCGUUGUUCGGAUUUACUGGGCGUAAAGGGCGCGUAGGCGGCAAUUCAAGUCAUCUGUGAAAUCUCCGGGCUUAACUCGGAACGGUCAGAUGAUACUGCUUUGCUAGAGUGCAGAAGGGGCAAUCGGAAUUCUUGGUGUAGCGGUGAAAUGCGUAGAUAUCAAGAGGAACACCUGAGGUGAAGACGGGUUGCUGGGCUGACACUGACGCUGAGGCGCGAAAGCCAGGGGAGCAAACGGGAUUAGAUACCCACGUAGUCCCUGAGCGGGCUGGCAAGGCGCAU
Molecule: ribosomal RNA, 472 nt
Filed under: uncultured bacterium
Lineage: Bacteria
Description: bacterial SSU rRNA
Rfam family: Bacterial small subunit ribosomal RNA
Source: RNAcentral